Molecule: long non-coding RNA, 306 nt
Filed under: Oryza brachyantha (malo sina)
Lineage: Eukaryota; Viridiplantae; Streptophyta; Magnoliopsida; Poales; Poaceae
Description: long non-coding RNA (OBRA_LNC002894)
Source: RNAcentral
GAGUUAGAAGUUGAGUCCGAUGGAGAUGACUCGCAGGAGUAAGCUGGUCUGCCGCCGAAGCGCUGCCUAUGGACUGGAGCCGUAUCCGCUGGAGCUAGUUUACCUAUCUUUCUGCUGCAUUUUCGUUAGAAUAAGUGUUACUUUCAGUUGUUUCUAAAUACGAUGGUUAUGUAAUCAACAUUGUCUUUUUUUUACCCUGCCGGUCUUGGACAGAGAUUUUAAUACACAAUUAAGUUCAAAAAUUCAUGUGAGGAAUUUUUGGGCGUGACAGUAAGUUAACUUACCGGCGCUCAAACGAACACCGCC